AACGAACGCUGGCGGCGCGCCUAAUACAUGCAAGUCGAGCGAGAAGACGUAGCAAUACGUUUGUAAAGCGGCGAACGGGUGAGGAAUACAUGGGUAACCUACCCUCGAGUGGGGAAGUAACUAGCCGAAGGUUAGCUAAUACCGCGUACGCUCCUCGGACUUCGGUUCAGGAGGAAAGCGAUACCGUGGGUAUCGCGCUCUUGGUUGGGCUCAUGUCCUAUCAGCUUGUUGGUGAGGAACGGCUCACCAAGGCUUCGACGGGUAGCUGGUCUGAGAGGACGAUCAGCCACACUGGCACUGCGACACGGGCCAGACUCCUACGGGAGGCAGCAGUAAGGAAUAUUGCGCAAUGGGCGAAAGCCUGACGCAGCGACGCCGCGUGGGGGAGU
This 389-nucleotide ribosomal RNA is filed under the name uncultured bacterium. RNAcentral describes it as "bacterial SSU rRNA". It matches the Rfam family "Bacterial small subunit ribosomal RNA", at positions 29 to 410 of the family's 1533-position model. The record is from RNAcentral.